CAGCCGCGGUAAUACGAGGGGGGCAAGCGUUGUUCGGAAUUAUUGGGCGUAAAGGGCGCGUAGGCGGUCUGACAAGUCUGAUGUGAAAUCUCUGGGCUCAACCCAGAGUCUGCAUUAGAAACUGUCGGGCUUGAGUAUGGGAGAGGUGCGUGGAAUUUCCGGUGUAGCGGUGAAAUGCGUAGAUAUCGGAAGGAACACCUGUGGCGAAAGCGGCGCACUGGACCAUAACUGACGCUGAGGCGCGAAAGCUAGGGGAGCAAACAGGAUUAGAUACCCUGGUAGUCCUAGCCCUAAACGAUGAUUGCUUGAUGUGGCAGGUACCCAAUCCUGCCGUGUCGCAGCUAACGCGUUAA
This 353-nucleotide ribosomal RNA is filed under the name uncultured soil bacterium. Its description in RNAcentral is "bacterial SSU rRNA". It matches the Rfam family "Bacterial small subunit ribosomal RNA", at positions 512 to 863 of the family's 1533-position model. The record is from RNAcentral.